UGGGGAAUAUUGCACAAUGGGGGAAACCCUGAUGCAGCAACGCCGCGUGAGCGAAGAAGGCCUUUGGGUCGUAAAGCUCUGUCCUCAGGGAAGAAGGAAGUGACGGUACCUGAGGAGGAAGCCCCGGCUAACUACGUGCCAGCAGCCGCGGUAAUACGUAGGGGGCAAGCGUUAUCCGGAAUUAUUGGGCGUAAAGGGUACGUAGGCGGCUUGGUAAGCGUGAGGUGAAAGGCAAUUGCUUAACGAUUGUAAGCCUUGCGAACUGUCAAGCUUGAGUGCAGGAGAGGAAAGCGGAAUUCCUAGUGUAGCGGUGAAAUGCGUAGAUAUUAGGAGGAACACCAGUGGCGAAGGCGGCUUUCUGGACUGUAACUGACGCUGAGGUACGAAAGCGUGGGGAGCAAACAGG
This 406-nucleotide ribosomal RNA is filed under the name uncultured bacterium. Its description in RNAcentral is "bacterial SSU rRNA". It matches the Rfam family "Bacterial small subunit ribosomal RNA", at positions 355 to 776 of the family's 1533-position model. The record is from RNAcentral.